UCUGGCGUUCUUGUAUUCGUGCAAGUUAACAGCCUGAGGAUUUAUGUGAAUGAUUUAUGUCGAUAGUAAAGGAGUGAAAAUGCAUAAGAAGCCAUCAAUUUCAUAUACUUUGAAAUUUCAUAUCCCUUGCGUUUGCACUCGUUCGAAUUUAUCUUGUGUCUUAUUUAGAUUUGCCGCUGCUCAAUAUGUAACCUGUUAAACUCACACAAUCAACCAAAUAAACGAGUCCAAAUAUAACUCCUGGCGACACCCCCAUCACCUGAAGGCCACCUCAAUCUGCAGGAACAAACUCCGCCUCCAGAAGCCAGGAAACGAAAACGCUAAAUACGGCGCAUCAAAAAGCCGGCGGUGACCGUCAGUCCCCAACCUUCUGGUAUCGGGCAGUGAGAAUAUAGCGCUGUUCGUUUAAAAUAAGGAGUUUGCAUAUAAUCUGAGAAAAAGGAGGAUCCGUCGGGAUAUUACCUCCCAAGGACCCUGCUGUGGAGCCAUUUUUGUUCGACUUUUCUUGAGAGAUGAGUGAAGCAGAGAAGAGGGUUUGCAGAGGGAUUGAUGAAGAAGGAAAGGUCCACGUCUGCGAUCACCCUCACUCUCUGAUGAAGCAGUGGCUGCGGUAUUACUGGGAUCGCAGAUCCUCGAGACCGCACGGCGAGGUUGACCCUCAGCCUCGUUCCUGGCAGUGGCUGCUGUUGACCACCUUCGUCUUGCUAGCACUGACACUCAUGGUGCUGCUGCUUCUCUGGAACUAUAAGUGCAUCAUCAUUGAGAAGAUGUGCACUGGCCAGGAGAGCUCAAUGUUUCCUCUGUUUGGGGAUGGCAAGGAAAGUCACAUGACGCAGAAACCGGUCUAAGGAGGCGAGGCGGCCUUUGGUCCUGCCAUCCCUGCUCUGCAGCCUACAAUCUCACUGCGCUCGCUGCAGUGCUUGCUGUUGCUAUGUACAGUUCAGAUCCAGUUACUAGGUUUCUGCAGCUUGAUUUCUGUCAGCCUCACAGAUUUGAAAGUAACUGAUAUGUGGACAUUUCAUUAAUGCUGAAAAGUUGUCUAUCUUUAGCUCACUCGGAGAAGUCCCCAACAGAAAAUUUGUCUGAUAGAACCAAACCUUCAUAUGGUGACGCAUCUUAUCACUGUUGGUCAGCUGUCUCUUUUGACCGCUGAUGUAACACAGCAGGUGAGGAUUCUCUGAUACGUGGGAGUGACCCUGAGAAAGGCACCUUGGAUGUCUGGUGUUUAAGGUACAAUUGUGGCUCCGCCAUGGAGUGCCGUAAUAGUAAAUGUGCCCUUCAGUGCUUAGACAUCUGAAUUAGCUACUUUAACAUAUAUUGCUCUGCUUAGCAGCAGUAGACCAGUGGCCUCCGACCUUUUUUAUAAUGUGAGUCAGUUUUUACGAAAAGAAAAUAAUCUGGAGAUUUACGAAGUUGCAACGGUGUAUACUGACAAAUAAGGAGGGGUGUGCGCUCCCACUCAGUAGAGUUUUCUGAUUGGUGGAGGGCUUCCCUGAUUCCCCCCUAAGCAGGUUUGGUUGAUGGGAGGCAUGGGGGUGUCACUAUCAACUAGGAAUGCUUUAGAGAUCCACCAGUUGGCAACCAUUUUAGACAAAAGAUUUUGGUUAUCAACAAAUUUGGGGGGAAAAAAAUGUGUACAUACGUCAAGCUAGUGAUUAAUAGGGAGAUAUUUGAAUGCCAUGCAUAUCUCCUUAUAAAUAAUAAGGUCUUUGGUUUCUAUACUUUUGUAGACAGGCUUUUUAAACUUUGAAUAAGCUCAUUUAUACAUUCAGCUGUAUUAAAGAAUGUGAAUUAUAUUUAAAGAUGUGUGUAUAUUUGCUACUUUGUCUGACACUUUUAUCCAAAGGGACUCACAAUUGAGAGAAGGGUCACAAUUUAUAUCUGCUCCUUGGGACUUGAAUCCACGAUCUUUGCGUCAUUAGCGCAAUGCUCUAAAGUCACUAACUAACAUUGACCUCACAGAGUGUAUCAUGCACUGUCCGGAAGCCUGGCUGUGUUACUAACUAUUUAUGAAUGAAUGAUACUGCUGGAGUAGAGACUCUGGGACAGUAAUACCCUACAUGGGUUCAUAGAGUGUCUUAACAUUUUGCAAAGGGAGAAUGAAUACAUAUAAAUGUGACUAAAAAAAAAAAUUUAAAUGCAACAAAAGUGGCUCAAAUCUGAAUAAGUGUGGAAAAUGGUUAUUACUAACCCAAUCACCUUUUGUUGUUUUAUUUCGCAGUUUAAUUCAAACAGUUUGAUAAAAAAAAUGUAUAUAAAUGAAUGUAAACUGCAUCGGAAGUACAAUAUCUUUCCAAGAUUCUGCCACCAGAGGGAGAUAUAGCUCAUCAUGAUGAUAAGUCGCCCAAACUACGUUUUUAUCGCAGUCUGGUUUGCAGGUAAUUUUAUCACUUGCAUUAAUAUAUCAGUGUUUGAAGCCCCAGCUGUCAUACAAAGAGUUUAAUUGCAAGUUCUAUAGUUUGUUUAUUUUUUUCCUUUUAUCAAUGCAGCCAGUUAAUGCAAUGAGCUAUUUACAAUUACCUUUAUUAUAAAGGAAGUAAUAAAAAGAGAUGUAGUGCUGCUUUCAUUCUCUUUUACUGUUGCAAUAAAAACAAUGAUUAGGGUUGGUUUACAUAUGUUAAAUAAAGGCCUAAAUCUUGCCAA
Brienomyrus brachyistius is the source of this 2643-nucleotide long non-coding RNA. RefSeq lists it as uncharacterized. Lineage: Eukaryota; Metazoa; Chordata; Actinopteri; Osteoglossiformes; Mormyridae. The transcript has 2 exons. The record is from RefSeq and is a predicted model, not a curated record.